GACAGAGGUGCCAAGCGUUAGGCGGAAUCACUGGGCUUAAAGCGUGUGUAGGCGGAUCGUUAAGUACCUUGUGAAAUCCCACGGCUCAACCGUGGAACUGCUGGGUAUACUGGCGAUCUUGAGCCACCUAGGGGCGAGCGGAACAGGCGGUGGAGCGGUGAAAUUCGUAGAUAUUCGCAAGAACACCAGUGGCGAAGGCGGCUCACUGGCCCGAUACUGACGCUGAGGCACGAAAGCGUGGGGAGCAAACAGG
This 253-nucleotide ribosomal RNA is filed under the name uncultured bacterium. Its description in RNAcentral is "partial 16S ribosomal RNA". It matches the Rfam family "Bacterial small subunit ribosomal RNA", at positions 524 to 776 of the family's 1533-position model. The record is from RNAcentral.